UUGUUACAUUGUCUGUCUGUAUGUGUCACUACGCCGUUUGUGUGUAAAUAUUCGUUAUUUGAAGGUAAAUCCCUCCCGUGAUUUAAUGCUAAUGUUAGCUAGCCUGAUAAUAGGGUUUUCCGUUGACUCUGAAAUGUCUAAAACGGUGUGUCUUGUAUUUAAAUAUACAAAGUGUGCAAUUCAUUUUGUUGUGUGUUUAGUUUUACAGUAAACUCCAACUGAGAUGACAAUAAAAAGCUUAAAGCACGCUCAGGGAAGGCAGAAGAACAUGCAUCACACGUUUGUUACAAGCAACACAGGGUGUGUUCAGGGUGCGUUUACAACUCCGGAACUUUCAUUUACAACCUACGCCGCGGCACAUUAAUCUUUUUUUUUUUUUUUAAUUAUAGCGUUUUUAUGAUCGUGAGAAGCCAAAAUCGAAAUCACGAUUAAAUUUUGAUUAAUUGCCCAGCCCUGCCUUCUUUAUCAGUGUGAUUGACAGGUAGAACAGAAAUUGAGAGCCAAGGGAUCAAGCAUCGAGCACGAUGGUCCAUGGGAAUGUUCCAGUAAUUGUUGGACUUCAUUAUCAUCCAGCCUGAGGAUAAUGAUGGCCACAAGCACUCAAUGGCAACGAUCGCGUCAAGUAAACUGCAAACGUCAGGCAUCGCAACAAUGUGUCCUUUUUAGAGGGGAGCGAUGGGGCUGGCCAGGGUGGGGGGCUAAAGCCUGGUCUCAGGGGAUUAGGAGGGGCACACCGUCACUGCUUGGAUGCAUUGAAAGGAGCACAAUGGCGCCUGGUAUCCAGUUUACCUGUUUGACAAAUGUGACUGGGGCAAAUGGUCUUAUCACUUGUGGAUGACACACACCAUGGAGAUGAAGAUGAAGCAUCAACACUAGAAACACUAAAAUGGCCAUCUUACAUCAGAUAUCUAAUCCCACACCCCCACUUUAACAUAGACCAGUGGUUCUCAAAUUUAAAAACAACAAGUUUAAACCACUAACGUCAUGCACAAUUUGAACAUUUUAAUUUUGUGAUUCUUUCAAGUACCACUAGAGGCAGCCCACAUACAAUUAGUGGUACGCAUACCACACUAAGAAUCACUGAUGUAGGCAAAUAAUAGGCACCUUGUAUCGGCUACAUUUCAAAAUGAAUAAGAUUAUUGAUAUUGAUUCUGAUUAUAGGACAGUAACAGUAGGACGCUGUUAUGCCCAUGUUUUUCUGUAUUGCUAACCAGGUGGGGGGCGGACUUGAGUUGGCAAUUUUAGGACUGCUUGACUAUGAAAGAUUCAACAUAACUUUGACUUUGUAUUCAUGGGACUCAACUCGAUUUAAACUUGAUCGACAUGACUUGAAAAGUCUUGUUCCUCUUUACAAAAAAUGAAGGCAAAUCAACCUUUCUUACAGAGGCCUUGACAUGACAUAGGGAAAAGUGUUAUUGUGGCCACAAUAUAGAUAUAUGCACAAAAUACUAAUUUUUUGGCCACAAAAUAUGCAUGAUGUGCACAAAAUACUGAUUUGCAGUACAUGAACAACUUGGGAUUUCUGUCUACUUGGUGGCCACAAUUGCAUAUUUUUUGUGCCCGUGUUAUACUUUUCUGCCCUUGUCAUGUCUAGAGCUUCGUACUUUCUGGCACUGAAUUAGUGAUGUAAUUAAUUAGCAUACAUCCACACCAUUUGAAAACUAUAUCAUUUAGGUUUUCACACUGACAUCUUUCCCCUUUUAUUGAAGAGAAGAAAAAUGAUUUAAUGUAUCCAACAUCAGCUCACAGUUGUGAAGCAUGACCGCUCCUCCCAGGGACUGCUUCUCAUACCCGCUAUCUAAUGUGUUUGGACCAGGGAAUGAUUACAAGCCUCACCUCCAGGAAAUAAAAAAAACUUUUGAACAACCAAUAAAGACCGUGGCGAACUUCGAUCCAGGCCUUAUAAAUCAAGCCCCGAUUGUCGAUCAAAGCGAGGCUGUGAAUCUCCCGUGACGCAUCUCACAUUCCGCGUUAAACACAUUCACAUGCUGCACUUGGUUGUUGUGUGCAUUUCCAGGACCAUGCUCCAUCUCGCUUGAUGGCGCGUCCAUCUUAAAAGUGCUCCCUCGGGAUGCGUCCAAAGCAGGAUGGAAAUGAUUCUUGGCAUAUGCUCAGAGGAAAGACGGUCACACUUGUAACACAAUUUGUGUUACAGUUUUGGCUUCUCAUGACUUGCUGAGUCAACACUUUGUCAGGAUGUUGGACAAGCUAAACCAAAAUAUGAAUGUUAGAGCUAUUGUUCUUUUAUUGCUAAAGACAAAUAAAUCAGACUGUGUUCUGUGCCUUCCCUGGUAUCUUUACGUUUAUAGUCGUAAUUGUUUUUUAAAUAUAUGGCAACACUUCAGAUAUAUUUGGGUUGGAUUUAGACUCAAAUUAUAAUCACACUUUUAUACUCUUCCAAGUGUGUUUUACACGGAAUACAGAGUAGUAAAUUGAAUUUUGAAACUCUAAUGUGCGACGCUGGGUGAGAGGUAUUUGGAGUUUACGGUUAGGGGUCGGGGGUUUAGGAUUAUCAUCUGGUAGUUACAUUUAGGACGUUUGGAUUUAGGGCACUAGGGAUAGAUGGAUCUUUUUUGGGUUCAGGGUUAAUUUCGGUUUGGGCUAAAGAGAUGAGGGUUCAGGGUUAGGGUUGGGUUAGGAUAGCCAGCUAGAUUGUUUUAGUAGCUAUCAAAAACCCACUUCACCGAGUGUAACGGAAUGGAUUACGUUCUACAUUUGAGCUUCCACUCAACUCCAAACUCCAAACUCAAAAUGACUGUAGCCAACAGCUGUACUGUUGCUGCGAAUCGAGGGUUUAGUGUCGACACUGACCUCGCCUUUGGUCUUCAAACAUGAAAGUGUUUCAUUUUGUGCAAUUUCCGCUCACCUUUCCACACAAAAAGCCUGCACUGUCACUUCAGAAUCAGCAGACGUGUCGCCUCACCACAUUACACCUCUUGUAGGCUCGUUAAUGUAAUUAAAAAAACAAACUCCUUGUGCAAACAUAUUUUUAGUAGGAAAACGAGCCAGGAAGCGCGUUUAAAUUCACAUUAAAUUCACAUUCACAUGUCAAGAGCACCAGCGGUUUUAUUUAGUUUUGUGUCGCAUUAAAGUCGCACAAGCAGAGCUGUUAUGCAGAUGUGAGCUAAUCGUAUUGUUUGUCUCACUCAUAACUUGCGCAUGAAGUAUUUGGGUGUGCUAAAGGUCCACAUCCAAUUUUUUUUCCACCAGACGUAAACACACAAAGCACUUCCGUCACAUGUUUUGGAGAAAAUAUGGAAAAUGUGUCAGUCUUUUAUAACGGCGAGCUAAACUGACUAACUGAAAGACAACAGUCUGUCAUAGUCCCAUUAGGGAUUUUGCCUUUUCCUGUGUUGGUCUUUUUUAAGUGUUUUUUUCCCCCAUGAUGUUUUUUUAGUUCCACCAGUCCUGUCAAUUUUGGUCUUCUGCUCCUUUUAUUUUGUGUUUGACCAAUCACCUUUGCUUUUGAUUCUCGCAGUCGCUAUCAGAUCUUUUGUUCAGCUUUCUAAAUAGUCUUCACUGUUCAUAUAGGAUUUUUAACAUCCUUAACUGUCAUACAUCGAAAACCUAAAAAUGCUAAAGCGGCGUAUACAUGACAAUAUUUAAUGUUGAGUUUUUACAAUGUGAGAGACCCCACACAAAUUAUCAUGGAUGUUCUUACUGCUCCUAUUGUGUGUGAUGUAGUCUAGAUAACAACAAAGUACACAAAACCCUACCUCCACCGUCAAUCACGAUACAGUAAACUCUUAAUUUAUCAUGAGGUUACAUUCCAGAAAACCCCCACAGUAAAUUAAAUCAGCGAAGCAGCCACCGAUUAUUUUAUUAUAUAAAUGUAUAACUUUCAUACUUGCAUUUUAAUGCUCUGUAAGGUUUCUUUUCUGCUAAGAACAGGAGCCCGAUCGACCUUCCGUGAGCCAUUGCUGACACUUUAAAAUCAAUUAGCCUAUAAAGCUGACUGUAUCAGAGAUGUGCAGAUCUUCUGGCACAUGUGCAGUCUGGACUUGGACGACGAGGUGCUGUCUUUCCACACCUUGCACGAGAGGCCCUUGGCGCAAUCGCAGCGCUGGAAGAUCUCCAGGCUGUGCGAGCCUUUCUUCCUCUGUUUGGUGCACACCUCGCCCAGUCGCAGUACCGGCUUGCAGAUUUUGGUCCAGAAGUGCCGGGCGCAGCAGUAGCCCUCAGAGCAGUCGGACGUACGCAAGCACGGGUCACCCUCGUGACCUGGAAGAGAAGGCGCGCAUCCAUGUCGUGGGUGUGGGAAAAAAAAAAUGGGCCUCACUUCUUCCAUCACAGCCAAGUCUUUGAAAUGUGAGGCCUCGCAAAAGACAACAGAUAUCAAAUAAACCGACGAUGAAUCAGUCCGACAAAACCCCCAGCUUUCAAAUGUCAACUUUGGCGUCCUUUAUCAGUCCAAACACGUCUGUGAACUUUGGACCACGACAUCUUUUAAAGGUCCAAUUACGGCGAAUGAGGUCGCCGCAGGAGGCCCCCUAAUAGGUCUGGGCUGGGGGCCCUGCCGGCACCCGAGGGAGCAGCAGACUGGAAAUGCCACCGGACGGCAGGCUGACUGCGGUGCUAACAAGCCGCAACACCUUUGCCCGACUUUCUCAGCUCAUUAAGGUCGCGUCACAGGCACUUCUAGGCAGAAGUGGGGUGGGCGGUGAGGACUUAAUACGCAGAUCGCAAAUAAAGCGACUGGUAAAGGCUUACACCGUGAAUGUAAGUGCCACCCACCAGUAAAAGAUUGAUUUUGUCUGAGGGGUUGAUAUAACACUGGGGAACACAAUUUUUGUUGUGUUAAGUCUGACAGCUGUUUUUAACACAUUUUUGGGUGCGGAAUCCAAAACUGAUCUCAGUUUUUUUCUAUCACGUCAAGUUUUUUAACUAUAGAUCCCUGUUUUCUUAAAAAAUAUGAAAAAUAGUGUACUUAACAUAUGUGCUUGUUUUAUAAAACUUUUCAAAUAUUGACACACAAUUAAAUAUGAAAAAACUGCAAUGUUUAUUUAACACUAUUAUGUUUUACAAAGGAUAUGGCACAAAUCCUCUUAAUUCCUACUAUGCUAGCUUUUCUGUUUGCAGAUAUUGGUUGUACUGACCAAUUGUGUCUUACUACAGCUAAUCAGUGGAAUUUUGCUGAUCUGGAGGGUAAGCUGUGGAGAAAAAAACUUGACGUGCUAGAAAAACACUGACUGCAAUUUUGGAAUCAGCAUGCCAAUUUUAGUUUUAAUCAGCAUAAAAAUCAAGCUCAACAGAUAUUUGAGUUCAAAUUGUUCCCUAAUCAUCAAAAACAACGUAGUCUUUAAUACCUAACGCAUCUAACCUAAGAUACUUCAACGAAUCUAAUGUAAAUUUUUUUUGUAAAAAGCACUUAAGCCUUCAACUGUAUAUAUUUUUGUAAAUAGCAAAGAAAAUUUGGAGAUUUCAAUGAACCAACAUGCAUAUUUCAUUAAACAUAUAAGACAAUAUAAUACCUAAUGUAGGCAUUUUUGUAAAUACUGAAGACAAUUUAGUUUAAUGAACUUACGCGCUUUUGGAGCAAUCAAGGAAAUAUUUUGUUUCAAGAAAACUAACAUACAGUACAUAUGUUUGUAAACAUCAAAGACAAUAUAAUAGCUAACAUCGAAGUUUUUUUUAAACACCAAAGCCAAUUUAGUCAAUGAACCUAACGUGAUUUGGAAGCGUCAUAUAAAAAUUUGCCGUCAACAAAACUAACAUACAGUGCAUAUCUGUAAACGACAAAGACAAAUCUUUAAUGCCCAUUCUGUUUUUGUACAUACCUAAGUUGAUUGAGAUUUCAAUGAACCUAACGUACGUUUUAGUAAUCAUCAAAGACCAUUUUGAGUCUUCGAUAAAUGUGUAUUUUCACUAGCAUUGAAGAUAGUGUUUUUUCUUCAGUGAACCAAAUGCAUGUUUUUUAAACAAAGACAAUUUUUCCUUCAGUGACACUAACGUACAUAUUUGUAAACAUCAAAACACAAUGGAGUCUUCAGUACCUGAAGUAUGUUUUGUAAACAUUAACAAUUUAGAUUCUUCAACUAACCUAAAGUACUUUUUUGUGAAAAGCAAAACAAGUUAGCCUUUAACUAAUGGAAUGUAUGUCUUUUUGUAAAUAUCAAAGACACACCAACGAUUUAGUCUUCGCUGAAGCUGACGACAUUUUAGGAAUCACCCCACAAAUAUAACCUUCCACGAAACUAACAUAAAAUAUUUUGUAAACAUUAAUUUAAAAAAUCAUUCUUCAAAGAAGGUAAUGUAAGCUCUGUGUUUUGAUAAAAAUCCAAAACAAUAUGGAGUCUUUAAUAAACCUAAUACAUAUAUUGAAAUAAACAUCAAAUGCAAUAUAGUCUUUAAUACCUAACGUAAACACUGAAGAUGAUUUAGUCGUCAAUGAACCUGACAGAAAUGUUUUAAUCAAGACAAAUUUAGUCCUCAACGAAACUGAAAUAUUUUGUAAUAAUCAAAGACGCAAGAUUCUUCAAUACCAAAUAUUAAAUAAAACAUCAAAGACAAUAUAGUCAUUAAUACCUAACAGAUUUAGUUUUUUAUAAACGCAUAAACCGAUUUUAUCGUCAAUUAAUCUUAACAUAUUUUAGUCAUCAUCAAAGACGAUUUUGAUUCUGAAAUGAAAGUAUGUUUUUGUAAGCAUUGAAGACUAUUUAGAAUCCAUUCAUCCAUCCAUUUUCUCUACUAUUUGUCCUCUUUAAGGUCAUGGGUGAGCUCGAGUCUAUCCCAGCUGACUUGAUGCGGGAGCCAGGCUACAUCCUGGACUAGUUGCCAGCCAAUCAUAUGGCAUAUAUAGACAAAAAAGCAUUCACAUGGACAAUUUAGAGUCUUCAAUGAACCUAACAUGCAUGUUUUUAGGAAUCUGCCAGUAAA
This is a long non-coding RNA of Phyllopteryx taeniolatus (common seadragon), 6876 nucleotides long. RefSeq lists it as uncharacterized. NCBI's taxonomy places the organism in Eukaryota, Metazoa, Chordata, Actinopteri, Syngnathiformes, Syngnathidae. The transcript has 5 exons. The record is from RefSeq and is a predicted model, not a curated record.